GGGCGCGGGCCGGCCGCCGCGCGGUGCGCUCGCCGUGCUCUGUGCGGCUCGCCGGGCCGCCCGCCAGAGGGUGCCCCCCACCCCCAUGAAGUCGGAUCCUUGAGCUGCGGCGGCGGCAGCCAACUGCUCCAUAUUUGGCUUCUAUUACACAUUUACAUACUGGAGCGAGCGAGCGAGCGAGCGCGAGAGAGCGCGAGGGAGGGAGGGCGGGCGGGCGGAGGGAGGAGGGAGGGGAGGGGAGCGGGAGGAGGGGGAGGAGGAGGAGGAGGAGGAGGAGAGAGCAGAGUAUACCGCAGACAUCAUUUCUACUACAGUGGCGGAGCCGUACAGGACCUGUUUCACUGCAGGGGGAUCCAAAACAAGCCCCGUGGAGCAGCAGCCAGAGCAACAGCAGCCGCAAGACAUUGUUUCUCUCCCUCUGCCCCCCCUUCCCCACGCAACCCCAGAUCCAUUUACACUUUACAGAGCAUCGUGCAUCAAGUCACCAGGGUGGUCCAUUCAAGCUGCAGAUUUAUUUGUCAUCCUUGUACAACAGUCUCCUUCUCCACUGCCACUACAGGGAAGUGCAUCACAUGUCAGUGAAUAUCUUUGCACACAAGUAUUUACCGAGGAUACACUCGCAUCAGAAGGCUCAUUACUAAGUUAGAGGAGCUUGCUCUGAAUUGCUUUCUAAAAGGCUGUGCCAAUUUGCAUUGUUACUAAUGAUAUAAACUCCUUAUACGAAGAUUAAUUCAAGAUGGAUUAGAGACUUAAAUGUUAGACCUAAUACCAUAAAAACCCUAGAAGAAAA
This 790-nucleotide long non-coding RNA is filed under the name Piliocolobus tephrosceles (Ugandan red Colobus). RNAcentral describes it as "lncRNA (ENSPTEG00000008363.1)". Lineage: Eukaryota; Metazoa; Chordata; Mammalia; Primates; Cercopithecidae. The record is from RNAcentral.